UACGGAGGGGGCAAGCGUUGUUCGGAAUUACUGGGCGUAAAGGGCGCGUAGGCGGCCGGCUAAGUCAGACGUGAAAUCCCUCGGCUCAACCGGGGAACUGCGUCUGAUACUGGGUGGCUUGAAUCCGGGAGAGGGAUGCGGAAUUCCAGGUGUAGCGGUGAAAUGCGUAGAUAUCUGGAGGAACACCGGUGGCGAAGGCGGCAUCCUGGACCGGCAUUGACGCUGAGGCGCGAAAGCCAGGGGAGCAAACGGG
Molecule: ribosomal RNA, 253 nt
Filed under: uncultured bacterium
Lineage: Bacteria
Description: partial 16S ribosomal RNA
Rfam family: Bacterial small subunit ribosomal RNA
Source: RNAcentral